Molecule: long non-coding RNA, 944 nt
Filed under: Homo sapiens (human)
Lineage: Eukaryota; Metazoa; Chordata; Mammalia; Primates; Hominidae
Description: HSALNT0292389
Source: RNAcentral
CACACACACACACACACACACAUCCCUAGCUUAGGGUCCCUCUAUUUGGCAUGGACUCAUUUUCUGCCAGGAAUGCAUAUCUUCCUUGCAGGCUGAGGCACUAUAUGGACUGUACUAAAAACACUCAACCCACUGAUUCUGGUGAAAUUAUUUUGGAGUGACAGGGAUAGGCAGGGGCUUUCCUGGGCUCAGGACUCUAGCUGGGGAGUGGCAAAAGCCACAGUGCAACUCAACUCAGGAGAAAAUAAAUGCCUGGAAAUUUGAGCCAGCUGUUUUUUUCUUACUCACCAAAGUGCAUUGAGUCAACCCUUAAUCUUUUGUCAAUAUUUGCGGACUGAAAACACGACAAACCACCCCCUGUGCCGCUCAGAGUGUAGACACUGACUGAUGGGACCAGGUACAAAAUCCCCUGGGACAAAACAGAACUUUCAUAACUGGCUGUAGAGUUAUUGUUUUUGCCUUUUGGAAGCUUCCACCUUGUGACGGGAAGAGCACUGUCAGCCCAACACAGAAACUCUGCCGCCUGGAGUCACGUGGAUCCAGAUGCGAAGGGACUCCAACGUCAUGCUAAGGAGUUUGGGCUAAGAAUUUGUACAGCCAUAUUACAGAUUUGGAAAAUGAUGUGAAGAGAAGCUAAGGGAUUUGCCACUGCCACUCAGCUGCCAAGGAUCAGAGGCAGGAUUCUAACAUUACUUCUACUUCUCAACGUCCAUCCUCCAACCAUUGUCCAGUGAUUCAGGCAGAAUUCCCUCCUGCUCAGGAGGUAGCCAUCCUGUGACCCUGGAAGAAACCAGCCCAAGGAAGGUGCUAACCUACAGAAGAAGGACAUGGCCAGGGUAAUCACAUAGACCCGGAGUUGAAGCCCUGACUGCACCACACCCGAAGCCUCCCCACCUUUCAACCUCUCGGUGAUGGUGAACCAAUAAACUCUUUUUAUUGUUCAA